Molecule: non-coding RNA, 3475 nt
Organism: Kogia breviceps (pygmy sperm whale)
Lineage: Eukaryota; Metazoa; Chordata; Mammalia; Artiodactyla; Physeteridae
Source: RefSeq, a predicted model, not a curated record
AGCUGAGUGGACUCGGAGUCUCGCGCAGGGAAUACCAGGGAAUGAGGGGCCAGCAACAUGGACAGGGCAGGCGGGAAGUCCGCGGCUGUUGUCGCAGUUGUGACUGAACCUCGGUUUACCCAGCGAUACAGGGAAUAUCUCGAGAAGCAGAAACUCCUGGAGAGACAGUACCGUGUGGAAAAGAUGCCGGAUGGCACUGUGGCGCUACCGGUGCUGGGAGAGGCCCUCCCUGAGCAGCACCUGCGGGAGCUGAGGAAUCGUGUGGCUCCAGGCAGCACCUGUGUGCUAACGCAGCUCCUGAAUCCUGUUCCUUCAAAGAAGUCCCAGGCUUGUUCACCUGCCCAAAGGCUGUGUCUUGAGGUGAGUCGCUGGGUAGAGGGCCGCGGAGUGACGUGGUCAGCUCAGAUGGAGGCUGAUCUGCCCCGAUCUUGGCAACGACAUGGUGACCUCUUGUUGCUGAGUGAGGACUGUUUCCAAGCCAAGCAAUGGAGAAAUCUGGAACCAGAACUCUGGGAGACGGUUGCCUCGGCACUUGGCGUCCAGCGUUUGGCCAAACGAGGGCGGGUGUCACCGGAUGGCACUCGAACUCCAGCAGUGAGUUUGCUUCUGGGCGACCAUGGCUGGGUAGAGCAUGUGGAUAAUGGGAUCCGAUAUAAGUUUGACGUGACUCAGUGCAUGUUCUCCUUCGGAAACAUCACUGAGAAGCUUCGUGUGGCAUCGCUGCCCUGUGCUGGAGAAGUGCUGGUGGAUCUCUAUGCAGGGAUUGGUUAUUUUACCUUGCCUUUCCUAGUUCAUGCUGGUGCUGCCUUCGUCCAUGCCUGCGAGUGGAAUCCCCAUGCUGUAGUUGCUCUGAGAAAUAACCUUGAGCUCAAUGGAGUAGCUGAUCGAUGCCAGAUACACUUUGGGGAUAACAGAAAACUGAAGCUCUCAAACAUUGCGGACAGGGUGAACCUGGGGCUGAUUCCCAGCUCUGAAGAAGGCUGGCCCAUUGCCUGCCAAACGCUAAGACAGGAUGCUGGAGGCAUUUUGCAUAUUCACCAAAAUGUGGAAUCUUUCCCAGGGAAGACUCUCCAGCCUCCUGGAAGCAGUGACAUGGAAAAGGAGUAUUGGUCUUCUCCUCAGCAAAUGAUCACCAACCAGUUGAAAAAUGGAGCUGCCAGUGAUUCUAGGAGAAAAAUGCUGUCAGCCGCCACCAAGCCAGAGUGGCAAAGGUGGGCGGAAGCUGCAGAAACUCAAAUUGCCACUCUUCUUCAACAGGUGCACGGGAAACCGUGGAAGACACAAAUCCUGCACAUCCAACCAGUGAAAUCCUAUGCUCCCCACGUGGAUCACAUAGUCCUGGAUCUGGAAUGCCGCCCCUGUCCUCUAGUUGGCUAGAGAAGGUGGAUCCUGAGACAGGAGGAUCUACGUGUGAGUGACCCUUAAAGCAUCAACUCAGGCUGGGGCCUCACCCCUCUUGUCUUCUGAAUGAGCUACGUAUCUGGGAGAAGUAGUGUGGCUCAUUGAAAUGAGGCCUGGCUGUGCAAUCGCACUGUGUGGAGGGCCAGGGACGUAGAGGUGAGUAAACCUGAGUCCUGCCCACAAUGGAAUCACUGUCUGGUGACACGGACACAGAUGAAGCAAUGUCAGUACUGUGUGCUAAGUGCACAUAUAGAAGCAAGUGGGUUUUUGCAGACACACAUAGGAUCUGGGUUCUGGGAGGUGGAGAGGGUGGCUGGGAAGCCGGGAGCAGGGGUGCCUAAGCUGAGAGUUAGAAAGCGUGCCGCAGUUACGGGUGAUGGGAGAGAAUAAGGGCCCCUUAAGCCUCUUCUCCACCUGAGUAUAUCCAUUUACAGUACAGUUUUCUCCAAGCACUUGCUGGAUGGCCUGACCCGGAAGAGACAUUUAGUGGAACCAAGGAAAAAAGACUGAAGGGGUCAGGAGGCUCAUGGCAUCCUUACAAAUUCAAUCCAGGAAUUUGUAAAAGCUCUAAAGGCUUCCUUUGCAGGCAUUAAUAUUAGUUGCUGAUUCAUGUACCCGCUUGAUGGAGAAGUUGUGAUUAAAAAACAAUAAUAAUGAUUUUAUCAAACUCCCUCAACCGUGACCUGCUCUAUUCAUUCACUCCAUAAUUUUAAUAAAUCACAUGCAUGUAUUAAUACACGAGUAUAAUGUAUAUAUUUAAAACGUACAAACAGAAAUUUAAAACGAUGAGACACAAAUAUAUAGAAAAAGCAUUUUUAAUUCAGUUUCUUCCACCCUGGGCACAUGUGUGAGAAGAAACCCAGUAUAUGUCACUCCAAACAGCCUCAGGGUGCAGCCACUUCACAUGGGCAAGCCAUAAAACUAGUCAUUUUCAAACUAAACUAUUAUUUUAAAUGAUUAAAACUAUUUUUUUCAUAUUUUUAAAAGCAUUUUUGAGUUUUGUUCUGGAAUACAGUUAGGUUACUUGGAAACAGUUUGAUCUUUUUGAGUCUUGCUUUUAAGCAUUUGUUAGAGCAGCGUAUAGUCUAGGAUUAAUUUUUUUCCAUUAUUGAAGCAAGGCCUUUCUUCGUUCUCUGACGCCUUGUGAAUUAUGAGAUUUUCCACUCUUGCUGUACGUAGGAACAGGAAUUAUCCACCACCCUGUGUGGUGUGAGCUCUGAGUAUUGUUUCCUAUAAUCCUUUCUGGUGGGUCUUUUGUUGGCUUUUGGUAGUUUCCUGUCAUGUGGGCUGAUCAUUACUCAGCUACAAACUUUUAAGGGAACGGUCAGCAGAUCUCUGGAGUUCCCUCUGUGUGCGGCUUUCUCCUCUCUGGCAUUCCACCCUGUGAACUCUACUUACUUGGGCUCCCAGGACUCACCUCCUCACCUCAGGGAGUCAGACUGCUGGCCUCCACUCCAUCCUCGUGCCACAGCCUGGAAAACCUCUCCAGGCUGUAAGUUGGAGCAGUUGUAUGGCUCACCUGGUUUGUUUUCCACCUCUCAUGGACCAUUGCUCUUCAUCGCCUAUGUCCGAUGCCUUGAGGGCCAUUGGUUCAUAAAUUUUGUCAAUUUUUUUUAACUAUUUAGAAGUUUAUAAUAAUUGUUUUGACGUAAAUGUACUAGCUUUCACAAUCAUUGGUGAAAUUCACUAUAGCAAUAAUAUACAUACUUCAGCUGACACAAUGUUUCAACAUGUAAAGCACGUAAGAAUUUCUUGCUACAAUUAUGUUUAGAAUGCUUACCUAUAUUAUAAAAUGAAUAUUAAAAUAUUAGCAAUGAUAUCUUUCUGAUUAGAUAUGAUAAUAACUUGCAAGAUUUCCUGACCAACAAUCACACACAAUUUCAGAGAGGCCAGAAACAGUGAGAAAAUAGGUAUCUGUCUCUUUGGGUUUUUAAAGGUCAAGGUUGAAUCCAAGGUAAGUAGAAAAUAUUGAAUAUGAGGCUAAAACUGAAUUUUGGUAUAACACACACAUAUUAGGUAGGUAGGUAGAUACAGAUGGAUAGACUGUCCUAGUUUCCCUUUUUUUCUUUUAGUA